Molecule: long non-coding RNA, 1616 nt
Filed under: Nicotiana benthamiana
Lineage: Eukaryota; Viridiplantae; Streptophyta; Magnoliopsida; Solanales; Solanaceae
Description: long non-coding RNA (NBEN_LNC004067)
Source: RNAcentral
CCUUUUUGGCUCUAAUCUCGUACCUUUUGCCCCAUAUUGCCUCCGGAUAAUUCCUACAGAUAAAAACACCAUGAAUUAGCAUAAAUCAAUACAUUGCACAUUCGAAAUCUUUGAAACACGAAUAAAAUGUGAGCUUAUAUAUAUAUAUCAUGUCUCAACUCGAAUGUUGAAGGAAUCUCCAAGACUGAAUUCAAUUGACAAAAGAAAGUUCGGCGAUAGCCAAGCCACCUGAUAGUUAUUAGAUUUAAACUGUAACUUUCAUACAUGAAUGCCUCACCAGGUUAAUGCUCAUUCUCUAGUUUUGUUUUACAAACACCACAGUGCCAAAGGCAGAACCUAAUCAGAACUAGUAACUAUAAUUGCAACAAACUUCAGCAGCAAGAUCAUCUAACUCAGAACUAAAUCGAACCAUAUUACCAAUUGUUAGAAGUUGAUAUGAGCCAUCCAACCUAUUGUUUUUUCCGUUGAAAGAGUUUUCACCAAACAAGUAUAGCAUAUUAUAUUCACUUAGUUACUAAAGUGAAUAUCUUUAUACAAGUUUUUCAAUACUUAUAAAACUUUAGAGUUUAUUUGGUGCGAAAUAUUGAUGUUGGUGAAAAUGCAAUUACAGUUAAAAUUAAAUUGAAGAAAAUAAAAUAUCUUAAGGCUGGGGCGCAGAUAUAUCGUGCUCUUUAAGAAGAUUCAAGCCCACUGCAGCAAAGUCUUCACUGGUCCAACAAUAAACUUCUUGACUUGUUCCCCCCAGGAUACAACAGCUCGAUCAUGUCGUAUGACUCGAACAAAUUCUGGACAAGAUGUUGGGUCCAAAGCUCCACCAAGAUAAACACCUUCCUUCAACAAAAGUAAAAACUCUUUUCUUCUUUUUCUUCACAACUUUAAUCUCACUUUAUUGAAACACUAUUAAUUAUUUUUCACAUACCACAUUAUGGAAGAAACACUCAUAUUUACAGGCGUAGAAAUUCUUCCUUGAAUUAAAUUGGAAGAAAGUGGGUUAGUAAGUUAUGAAAUCGUGGAGAACAUGAGAGAAGAGUUAUGGCCAUUUUCUACAUCAUGGAGUAGUGAGAGUUAUGGUCAUUUUCUAUAUGGAAUAGUGGGAACUAUGACAUAUUUUAUUUUAAUAUUAAAAUGCUAAAAUAUUAACAAUUAAUCUACUUGGAUAAUAAAAAAUUAAUUGAUAAAAUUUUGAUGAUCAUCUUUUCAUUUUAUUUUGGUAAUAGUUGUGAACUAUUACCAUUUAACAACCAAAUUAAUACAUAUCCUAAAGAGCACCUAGACACACUAACACCUUUUAGGAAUGGUGCAAUGUACUCAUAGACCUCUAAUCAAUUACUAAUUACAAAGAAUCUGUAGCAAAUAAUAGCAUCUUCUGGCUUUCCUAGAGUUCUUGUGUAUAACUAUUCUAUCUCUAAAUUCCUUUUGCAUCUGUGUCAUCACAAGCUAGUAUUUACAUUAAUUCCUUUGAACGUUUUUCCAUUACUGGCUUUCCAGGUGCGAUAGAUCAGGGCCCUCCAAAUUGCUGCAGCUAUUUCCUUUUUGAAUAACUUCCAGUGCUUUCUUUUAAUCUUUUCCAGCACGUGCUUACAGUCCCUCGUGGUAUUGUCAUAUCAGUCCAUUUC